RNAcentral lists this ribosomal RNA (446 nucleotides) under uncultured bacterium. RNAcentral's name for it is "partial 16S ribosomal RNA". It matches the Rfam family "Bacterial small subunit ribosomal RNA", at positions 338 to 795 of the family's 1533-position model. The record is from RNAcentral.
CCUACGGGUGGCAGCAGUCGAGAAUCAUUCACAAUGGGGGAAACCCUGAUGGUGCGACGCCGCGUGGGGGAAUGAAGGUCUUCGGAUUGUAAACCCCUGUCAUGUGGGAGCAAAUUAAAAAGAUAGUACCACAAGAGGAAGAGACGGCUAACUCUGUUCCAGCAGCCGCGGUAAUACAGAGGUCUCAAGCGUUGUUCGGAAUCACUGGGCGUAAGGCGUGCGUAGGCUGUUUCGUAAGUCGUGUGUGAAAGGCGCGGGCUCAACCCGCGGACGGCACAUGAUACUGCGAGACUAGAGUAAUGGAGGGGGAACCGGAAUUCUCGGUGUAGCAGUGAAAUGCGUAGAUAUCGAGAGGAACACUCGUGGCGAAGGCGGGUUCCUGGACAUUAACUGACGCUGAGGCACGAAGGCCAGGGGAGCGAAAGGGAUUAGAUACCCCAGUAGUC